RNAcentral lists this long non-coding RNA (1021 nucleotides) under Homo sapiens (human). RNAcentral's name for it is "HSALNT0356747". Lineage: Eukaryota; Metazoa; Chordata; Mammalia; Primates; Hominidae. The record is from RNAcentral.
GUCAGUUGCAAGGGUGUGAGGCAGAAGCAACACAAAAGAUCUUGAUAUGAAGCAAUUAUUUUUGGUCUUAAACUGCUGGGACUCCAGAUGACCCAGACCACGGUCAGCAGGCAGAAGCCAGGUAUUUUAUUCUUUUAGAUGCUAUUGUCAACAGAAUUGCCUUCAAGAUUCCUUUUCUGAUUGUUCAUUGCUGAGAUGACAUCUCACUAUAUUGCCCAGGCUGGUCUUGAACUUCUAGCCUCAAGCAAUCCUCCCACCUCAGCCUCUGAACGUACUGGAAUUACAGAUGGAGCAACUGAGAUUCUUCCCCAACUAGACUAUAAGUUCUCUGAGGGAUAAGGAACAUGUCUGGUUUCCUCAUCUCUCUGUCACAGCACCCUGUGAAUGCCUAGAAGACAGUAAGAAUCAACUGAAUGUUUGUAGAAAGAAUAACGAUACUUACCUAUAGUCUAAAGGUUUAGUGAUGAAAUGAAGUCCACUAACUUCUCUCUGCUUACUUCCACCCUCAAUAACAUAUUUCCUCAAACCCCACAGAGGAAAGACAAUUCAUUUUUUACUAUUGUUUAAUAGAGCCAUGUUUGUAUGUAGCUUCCUGUUCCGCUUAGCCCAAGACAUUAAGUGGGUCAGGAGUAAACUCUGCCCUCUGUUUUUUUCCAUUCCUUUGUCACCUGCUCAAGUGGCAGCCCAGAGCCGCUUGGCGGCUUCCCUGAAGAUGAGCAGAGUGCAGUAGAUUAGGCAUGGCCUUUCUAUCUAUUUCUACUAUGGAGAAGCUGAAAAAGCUAUAUGGCUGGAAAAAAAUCACCUUGGUACUAAUUUGCUAUUUUACAAUAUUUGAAAAUAAAGACCUGUGGUCUUCCUAUGUAUUUCUUUUUAAACAAUGAGGGGUAUGGAACAUCUAUGAAUAAACAUCAAGGUCUUCAAGUGAAUUUUCAGGUUGUGAAGUAUGUGAUUUGUUACUACUAGGGAGAGAUGUUUCCUAACCAUAAAAAUGAAUGUGACUUUUUUUUUUUAAAGGAUGCAA